This 433-nucleotide ribosomal RNA is filed under the name uncultured bacterium. RNAcentral's name for it is "partial 16S ribosomal RNA". It matches the Rfam family "Bacterial small subunit ribosomal RNA", at positions 29 to 507 of the family's 1533-position model. The record is from RNAcentral.
AACGAACGCUGGCGGCAUGCCUAACACAUGCAAGUCGAACGAGACCUUCGGGUCUAGUGGCGCACGGGUGCGUAACGCGUGGGAACCUGCCUUUAGGUUCGGAAUAACUCAGAGAAAUUUGAGCUAAUACCGGAUGAUGUCUUCGGACCAAAGAUUUAUCGCCUUUAGAUGGGCCCGCGUUGGAUUAGCUAGUUGGUGGGGUAAAGGCCUACCAAGGCGACGAUCCAUAGCUGGUCUGAGAGGAUGAUCAGCCACACUGGGACUGAGACACGGCCCAGACUCCUACGGGAGGCAGGAGAGGGGAAUAUUGGGGAAUGAGCGAAAGCCUGAUCCAGCAGUGCCGCGGGAGUGGGGAAGGCCUUAGGGUUGUAAAGCUCUUUUACCCGAGAUGAUAAUGACAGUAGCGGGUGAAUAAGCACCGGCUAACUCCGUG